This 497-nucleotide ribosomal RNA is filed under the name uncultured bacterium. Its description in RNAcentral is "partial 16S ribosomal RNA". It matches the Rfam family "Bacterial small subunit ribosomal RNA", at positions 28 to 507 of the family's 1533-position model. The record is from RNAcentral.
GAUGAACGCUGGCGGCGUGCCUAAUACAUGCAAGUCGAGCGAACAGAUGAGGAGCUUGCUCCUCUGACGUUAGCGGCGGACGGGUGAGUAACACGUGGAUAACCUACCUAUAAGACUGGGAUAACUUCGGGAAACCGGAGCUAAUACCGGAUAAUAUAUUGAACCGCAUGGUUCAAUAGUGAAAGACGGUUUUGCUGUCACUUAUAGAUGGUUCCGCGCCGCAUUAGCUAGUUGGUAAGCUAAAGGCUUACCAAGGGAACGAUGCGUAGCCGACGUGAGAGGGUGAUAGGCCACACUGGAACUGGAACACGGUCCAGACUCCUACGGGAGGCAGCAGUAGGGAAUCUUACGCAGUGGGCGAAAGCCUGACGGAGCAACGCCGCGUGAGUGAUGAAGGUCUUCGGAUCGUAAAACUCUGUUAUUGGGGAAGAACAAAUGUGUAAGUAACUAUGCACGUCUUGACGGUACCUAAUCAGAAAGCCACGGCUAACUACGUG